CUCUGUGACUCCUACGGGAGACAGCAGUGGGGAAUAUUGCACAAUGGGCGCAAGCCUGAUGCAGCCAUGCCGCGUGUGUGAAGAAGGCCUUCGGGUUGUAAAGCACUUUCAGUCGUGAGGAAGGUAGUGUAGUUAAUAGCUGCAUUAUUUGACGUUAGCGACAGAAGAAGCACCGGCUAACUCCGUGCCAGCAGCCGCGGUAAUACGGAGGGUGCGAGCGUUAAUCGGAAUUACUGGGCGUAAAGCGCAUGCAGGUGGUUUGUUAAGUCAGAUGUGAAAGCCCGGGGCUCAACCUCGGAAUUGCAUUUGAAACUGGCAGACUAGAGUACUGUAGAGGGGGUAGAAUUUCAGGUGUAGCGGUGAAAUGCGUAGAGAUCUGAAGGAAUACCGGUGGCGAAGGCGGCCCCCUGGACAGAUACUGACACUCAGAUGCGAAAGCGUGGGGAGCAAACAGGAUUAGAUACCCUGGUAG
This 472-nucleotide ribosomal RNA is filed under the name uncultured bacterium. Its description in RNAcentral is "bacterial SSU rRNA". It matches the Rfam family "Bacterial small subunit ribosomal RNA", at positions 328 to 793 of the family's 1533-position model. The record is from RNAcentral.